GCUUCUCCCAGGUCCGCUUUCAGAUUUAUGAUGUAGAUUUCAUCACUUUUCCUUUUGUAGAUGUACUGUUCCAUCUGGAAAUCCAGCAACAAGAUCUUCAGGAGAUUGAAAACUAAUCUUGCUUUUAUUUGCCAACCUGAACAAAACUGGCCAACACUCUCCACGACAGUGAUAUGCCAGGAGUGUUCCCUUCCUGAGCUCCUGCAGCACCCAGCCAGGAAGGAAGCAGCAACCUUGACCCUGAGAAUGAAGAUGCCCACAGGGAGAGUCAAAGCGGGACCUCAUUUGCUUAAGUGAAUCCUCUAUGGUUUCUCUGCACUGUUCCUCCUGUGGAAAGAUCCUGUAAGGGAACCUGCUCACUUUUUUAAAGACCACCAACAUUCCAAGGUAGGAGUGGAGGGAGCAUUUCAGAUGGGAAGGGCUGUACCUCCUUUAUUCUCAUCGUCAUUACCACCCCUGCAGGAGACAGACCCGCCCCCAGGGGGAAAGGGGAUUCUCCACAGAAGCAGAGCCAAUCAGGGCUAUCUAUCUAUAUCAGGGAGCUGCUUGCAGAAUCAGGUCUUCACCCUGGAUGGAUUACUUAGCCACUGGCUCUGUGAUCACCUUAAAGAGAAAUGGGCCCUGAGUCUGACUCUGGC
Molecule: long non-coding RNA, 638 nt
Organism: Heterocephalus glaber (naked mole-rat)
Lineage: Eukaryota; Metazoa; Chordata; Mammalia; Rodentia; Bathyergidae
Source: Ensembl